GAUGAACGCUGGCGGCGUGCCUAAUACAUGCAAGUCGAGCGAACGGACGAGAAGCUUGCUUCUCUGAUGUUAGCGGCGGACGGGUGAGUAACACGUGGAUAACCUACCUAUAAGACUGGGAUAACUUCGGGAAACCGGAGCUAAUACCGGAUAAUAUUUUGAACCGCAUGGUUCAAAAGUGAAAGACGGUCUUGCUGUCACUUAUAGAUGGAUCCGCGCUGCAUUAGCUAGUUGGUAAGGUAACGGCUUACCAAGGCAACGAUGCAUAGCCGACCUGAGAGGGUGAUCGGCCACACUGGAACUGAGACACGGUCCAGACUCCUACGGGAGGCAGCAGUAGGGCAUCUUCCGCAAUGGGCGAAAGCCUGACGGAGCAACGCCGCGUGAGUGAUGACGGUCUUCGGAUCGUAAAACUCUGUUAUUAGGGAAGAACAUAUGUGUAAGUAACUGUGCACAUCUUGACGGUACCUAAUCAGAAAGCCACGGCUAACUACGUG
This 497-nucleotide ribosomal RNA is filed under the name uncultured bacterium. RNAcentral's name for it is "partial 16S ribosomal RNA". It matches the Rfam family "Bacterial small subunit ribosomal RNA", at positions 28 to 507 of the family's 1533-position model. The record is from RNAcentral.